Molecule: ribosomal RNA, 1158 nt
Filed under: Salmonella enterica subsp. enterica serovar Virchow
Lineage: Bacteria; Pseudomonadati; Pseudomonadota; Gammaproteobacteria; Enterobacterales; Enterobacteriaceae
Description: partial 23S ribosomal RNA
Rfam family: Bacterial large subunit ribosomal RNA
Source: RNAcentral
UACCAGCUGGCUGCAACUGUUUAUUAAAAACACAGCACUGUGCAAACACGAAAGUGGACGUAUACGGUGUGACGCCUGCCCGGUGCCGGAAGGUUAAUUGAUGGGGUCAGCGCAAGCGAAGCUCCUGAUCGAAGCCCCGGUAAACGGCGGCCGUAACUAUAACGGUCCUAAGGUAGCGAAAUUCCUUGUCGGGUAAGUUCCGACCUGCACGAAUGGCGUAAUGAUGGCCAGGCUGUCUCCACCCGAGACUCAGUGAAAUUGAACUCGCUGUGAAGAUGCAGUGUACCCGCGGCAAGACGGAAAGACCCCGUGAACCUUUACUAUAGCUUGACACUGAACAUUGAGCCUUGAUGUGUAGGAUAGGUGGGAGGCUUUGAAGUGUGGACGCCAGUCUGCAUGGAGCCGACCUUGAAAUACCACCCUUUAAUGUUUGAUGUUCUAACGUGGACCCGUAAUCCGGGUUGCGGACAGUGUCUGGUGGGUAGUUUGACUGGGGCGGUCUCCUCCUAAAGAGUAACGGAGGAGCACGAAGGUUGGCUAAUCCUGGUCGGACAUCAGGAGGUUAGUGCAAUGGCAUAAGCCAGCUUGACUGCGAGCGUGACGGCGCGAGCAGGUGCGAAAGCAGGUCAUAGUGAUCCGGUGGUUCUGAAUGGAAGGGCCAUCGCUCAACGGAUAAAAGGUACUCCGGGGAUAACAGGCUGAUACCGCCCAAGAGUUCAUAUCGACGGCGGUGUUUGGCACCUCGAUGUCGGCUCAUCACAUCCUGGGGCUGAAGUAGGUCCCAAGGGUAUGGCUGUUCGCCAUUUAAAGUGGUACGCGAGCUGGGUUUAGAACGUCGUGAGACAGUUCGGUCCCUAUCUGCCGUGGGCGCUGGAGAACUGAGGGGGGCUGCUCCUAGUACGAGAGGACCGGAGUGGACGCAUCACUGGUGUUCGGGUUGUCAUGCCAAUGGCACUGCCCGGUAGCUAAAUGCGGAAGAGAUAAGUGCUGAAAGCAUCUAAGCACGAAACUUGCCCCGAGAUGAGUUCUCCCUGAGACUUUAGGUCUCCUGAAGGAACGUUGAAGACGACGACGUUGAUAGGCCGGGUGUGUAAGCGCAGCGAUGCGUUGAGCUAACCGGUACUAAUGAACCGUGAGGCUUAACCUUACAACGCCGAA